Molecule: ribosomal RNA, 677 nt
Filed under: uncultured prokaryote
Description: bacterial SSU rRNA
Rfam family: Bacterial small subunit ribosomal RNA
Source: RNAcentral
UAGUCCACGCNGUAAACGAUGAAUGCUAGCUGUUAGCGAUAUACUGUUAGCGGCACAGAGAAAUCGUUAAGCAUUCCACCUGNGGAGUACGCCGGCAACGGUGAAACUCAAAGGAAUUGACGGGGGCCCGNACAAGCGGAGGAACAUGUGGUUUAAUUCGAUGAUACGCGAGGAACCUUACCUGGGCUUAAAUUGCAGUGGAAUAACGUGGAAACAUGUUAGCCUUCGGGCCGCUGUGAAGGUGCUGCAUGGUUGUCGCCAGCUCGUGCCGUGAGGUGUCGGCUUAAGUGCCAUAACGAGCGCAACCCUCAUCGAUAGUUACUAACAGGUUAAGCUGAGGACUCUAUCGAGACUGCCGACGUAAGUCGUGGGGAAGGUGGGGAUGACGUCAAAUCAGCACGGCCCUUACGUCCAGGGCUACACACGUGUUACAAUGGGGGGUACAAAGGGCAGCUACCUGGCGACAGGAUGCUAAUCUCAAAAACCUCUCUCAGUUCGGAUUGGAGUCUGCAACCCGACUCCAUGAAGCUGGAUUCGCUAGUAAUCGCGCAUCAGCCACGGCGCGGUGAAUACGUUCCCGGGCCUUGUACACACCGCCCGUCAAGCCAUGGGAGCCGGGGGGACCUGAAGUAUGCAACCGUAAGGAGCGUCCUAGGGUAAAACUGGUGACUGGGGCU